Molecule: long non-coding RNA, 244 nt
Filed under: Elaeis guineensis (African oil palm)
Lineage: Eukaryota; Viridiplantae; Streptophyta; Magnoliopsida; Arecales; Arecaceae
Description: long non-coding RNA (EGUI_LNC078764)
Source: RNAcentral
GACUUCAAUAUAUGAUUCACAUGUACAAGAACUUUAGGGGGAUCAGAUUUAUCGGUGUUAUGCUAAUCUAUUUGCUGUCAACUGCAUUCUCUGGCUUAUUCUUUUAUCAAGUUCUUUAUUCCUCGUUAUUACUUCACUUUCCAAGAUGUUGCUGGAUCUUUGUUCAACUGGUUCUUAAUCAUCAACACUGCUGGUUCCAAGAUGCUGGUUAUAAUUCCUUCACUGGUGGUCCUCUAUUUACUUG